Molecule: ribosomal RNA, 468 nt
Filed under: uncultured bacterium
Lineage: Bacteria
Description: partial 16S ribosomal RNA
Rfam family: Bacterial small subunit ribosomal RNA
Source: RNAcentral
GACGAACGCUGGCGGCGUGCUUAACACAUGCAAGUCGAACGGAAAGACCCUGCUCUUGUGGGUUGCUCGAGUGGCGAAGAGGGGAGUAACACGUGAGUAACCUGCCCUUGUCUUUGUGAGAACUUCAGGGAACUGGGGCGAAUACCCGAGAGGAUCUCCUGCUGCAUGUGGGUGGUUGGAAAGUUUCGGCUGUUGGGGAUGGACUCGCUGCUUAUCAGCUUGUUUGUGGGGUAGUGGCUUACCAAGGCUUUGACGGGUAGGCGGCCUGAGAGGGUGACCGGCGACAUUGGGCCUGAGGUAGGGAGCAGACUGCUACGGGACGCAGUAGUCGGGAAUAUUGCACAAUGGCGGGAAGCGUGAUGUAGCAACGCUGCGUGCGGAAUAAUGGCCUUCGGGUUGUAAACAGAUUUCGAAUGUGCCGUAGACUGAGUGACGGUACUGGGUCAAGAAGCAACGGCUAACUACGUG